UGUGUGGUCUCCACUGAGGCAAAAAACCGGGGCAGACGGGUGGCUGAGGCCACGGCCACAAGGCAGGGUUGAGGUUCACAUUUUGAAGACCGUGGGGCACAGAACUGCUGUAGAGAUGGGAGCAAAGCUGGACCCUCAGUCCCAAAGGCCAGCGAGCAGGCACCAGCUCCGCAAUCGGGAAGAAGGAAACAGACCUUCAGGAAAUGGAAGUCUUAGGCAUCCCUGCCGCCUCGGCUCUCCUCCCUCAGCAUAUAAAUCAGCCUGAACCCUGCCGCUGUGCUCUUCAGACACUGUGUCAUCUGCUUCCGGUGCAGAACACAGGGAGACGGCUGGCAUGCCUGGGGAGUGGCUGGCCCUGCUCUGCAGAUGCCCGAGACAAUGCACGCCAGUUAUUUUCCUCAGCUCUUCCCAGCACCGGGAUCAGGGGGCUGGCCAGGCCCUUCUGUCUCCGUCUGAAGAUGCGGAUCUGUGGGCUGAAGUGGCGCCCUGCCUCCCUGGCUGCGGGCAGUGCAGACAGAACCAUCUGGAGGCCGAGUGAGGAGCUGCCAGGGCCUGGGUGCUCAGCCCAGGCCGGGCUGCAUGCAGCCCUGUCCAGCCAGCCAGAUGAGGGCGGGAGAAGCUGAGGGCCUCUGCUUCAUGAACGUGCCUAGAUGUCACACAGCCCGGUUAGAGAGGACAGCGCUCUGCGGAACGAACAACUCAGCACUUCCUGCUCUUCCCACGGCUGGACAGUGUUAGGCUCAGGUUCCCCCAUGAUACCUGAGAAUCACUGCUUGCUUUUGCAAGGAUCACACGGUGAACUGCGGAUUCAUCAGAGGAUUAAUUCACGGAGGAGUACAGCGCCCUCAUGACCAAUCCCUGUCUGAAAGUCUCCUCUGUGAACACAGGAGAAUUUGGGGGGACACUCCAGAUCUCAAACAUCGCAUCACGUCAUUUGAUCUGGCCCUGACCCUACCAGGGAGGGGGUUAUCAUCACCCUAUUUAUGCAGCAGAGAAAAUUCAGAUUCACCUGUGCAAAUACAGGGCUUGCUGGACCAGCCAUGAGGACCGCAAGGCAGCAGGGGACGGACGCGGCAUCGCACGAGGCACUGAUGGAAUGGGAGCCGCGCCGGGGCGAUUUAAGGUUUCCCCAUGGGUCCCGUGCUUGGAGGAAGCCAGCUCUGGCGUUUCCUUUCAGAUGCACGGACACCAUCCCCGGCAGGUGGCGCCUGCGAUGCCUGAGCGCCGCCCUGCAGCCCAGCCCCGCUCAGGCUGCUCCCGUGUCCUCUGCCGCUCUCCCUUCCUGGGUCACGGAGGCCACGUACUCCACAAGUUACUUAACACGUCCCCUCCAGGCACCUUCCUCUGGGCUCUGAGAGCCCUCCGGUGUUUUACCUGCACCUGGACACCCUGCUCACUGGAGUUUUCCGGAGAGCAUGAGGGGAAAUGGAAUUGCAUUUCUUGACAAUACUGUCUCUUUGAGGCCUUAAGGCUGACCUCUUCCUUUGCUGCGGAGGCACUGUUGAGAAGAUGAAAUGAAGUAAUGCACGCGAGGUGCCCAGUGUGCACGUGUGACUGUUUACAGGAUCUGUGACUACUUAUGUGUACGGUGACGUUUUACUAUCCACGGUUUCCAUUCACAUGCCUACAUUUUCCUCUACCGAACUGUAAACUCCUCAGGGGGAGGAGCGGGGGCGGUGAAUUCUGGAGUCUUCCACAGGCCCUGGAACGAUGACUCAGGACUGUAGAUAGUCCCUAAAUGAAUGGGGGAGGGAGAAGGAUGAAUAACUGGCGAGAGCAUUUUAAAUCUCAUCACAGUAUACAGCCCAGAAGUGAAGCGGGGGAAGAGAAGGACAAGGAGCCAAAAAUCCUCUGUUCUAACCCCUACGUGGAAGCAGCCUUAUCAUAGCACGGUAUUGCUCUCUUUCUGUUACUGAUUUCUGAUUUAAUUCCACUCUAAUUUAAUUGCACUGGGUGGUUUUGCUAUUUGAAGCUUUUGGGUCUUCCUACUCUUGGACUAGUAUUUAAUUUCUCUCUACCUGCACAGCAGCUGACAGUGUCUCUCCAUCCUACAAGAUCUUUAUAAGCAGGCACAGACGCUCUGGCGUGGAGACUUUAACUGUCACUGUCACCCUCACAAUUAGCCCCUGCUGGUCACCUGUCCGUCUUGAGGCAGUCUGUUGUGAUGGUGGAGGACAAGUUUUAGAAAAUUGCUUUCUACUGUAAGUCUGGAGUUGCCUUCAUUUAAGUUGCCUUCACAAAGCAUGGGCUUCCUUCCUUCCUUCGUGUUUGCUGCUUUAUUUCAUUGAUCAGAUGGGUUAUUGCAUUUCCUAAUGGCCAGGUACUGUGGGAGGCGCUAGGGACAGAGGCCAGAAACAAGUAUAAGCACAGAUGUACAAGGUGACCCACACCACCUGUCUCUGACCACAGCCAAGCCUGUGUGGAGGAAGAGAAGAAGGAGGAGGAAGUGGGCGGGGAAGAGGAGGAGGAAGAGGAGGAGGAGGAGGAGGAGGAGGAGGAGGAGAAGGAGGACAGAUUCUAUUAAGUGGGAGUCAGAAGACCAGGGGUCGAGUUACAGCUUGGCCAUCCGUCCAAGACUCAGUUUUCUUUCCUGUAAAAUGCAUCCUAUCUGUCUCUCAGGGUCACUGUGAGGAGAAUAAAACAAGACAGUA
This is an RNA transcript of Chinchilla lanigera (long-tailed chinchilla), 2651 nucleotides long. RefSeq lists it as uncharacterized. The record is from RefSeq and is a predicted model, not a curated record. The transcript is spliced from 4 exons. NCBI's taxonomy places the organism in Eukaryota, Metazoa, Chordata, Mammalia, Rodentia, Chinchillidae.